AAUCGUGAUGGGGACAAAGGGCCUGCAGUUCUUUGAAUCAUUCCCAAGCCUGAUAUAAAGCCUCACCAUUGUUUUGAGUGAAAAUGAAAUUUGUUUCUUAAGGGC
Molecule: small nucleolar RNA, 105 nt
Filed under: Olea europaea subsp. europaea
Lineage: Eukaryota; Viridiplantae; Streptophyta; Magnoliopsida; Lamiales; Oleaceae
Description: Plant small nucleolar RNA R71
Rfam family: Plant small nucleolar RNA R71
About the family: R71 is a member of the C/D box family of snoRNAs containing the C (UGAUGA) and D (CUGA) box motifs. Multiple nearly identical copies of this snoRNA have been identified in Arabidopsis, and it is thought to function as a 2'-O-ribose methylation guide for 18S ribosomal RNA.
Source: Rfam by way of RNAcentral